This 541-nucleotide long non-coding RNA is filed under the name Glycine max (soybean). RNAcentral describes it as "long non-coding RNA (GMAX_LNC000803)". Lineage: Eukaryota; Viridiplantae; Streptophyta; Magnoliopsida; Fabales; Fabaceae. The record is from RNAcentral.
UUUGCGUGAAGUGGUUGCUGGUUUCAGAAAAGCUUGACCCACCGUUGAGGUCCUCCGCGCCGCGUUCCCCCCGUGAGCAUCGUCUUCUUCCUCCACACCUGGAGUCUGUGUUCUGCGAACGUGGUGCUUGUUGGUGUUGAGUAACCCAGGCAUUUUGAGGGUGGUGUUCUCCCUUCGCGUCGACAUUGUCGAGGUUCGUCUUUGAUUGUCGGUGUUGUUAUUUAAUCCUUAAACGUUUUUUAGGUGAUCCGUAAAAAGUAGUGAACAAAAUUGAAGAUUACGGAUCAACUUACGGAUCAACUUGAUCUGUAUGUUUCAUCUUUAAUUUUUAAAAUUGGGAAAUAUUUAAAAAAUAGUGAGUUUUUUUUAAAUUAGGAUUUAGGGUUAGUUGAUUAAGUUUAUAAUACUUUGAAAUUUGGGGGAUUAUUUGUAGAAUACAAUAACAUUUUGAAUUUGGUGUCUUUUUGUUCUGAAAUUUGCAGGUUACUCAUUAAGUUGGUGGAUUGAGUUUCUUUCUCACAAGGUGUUUGUUUGAAGUCUG